AACAGGUGGAUACACAGGUUAAUUAUGAAUUGUUUAUUAUUAUGCCGUCUAGUGGAAGAGCAUUAAAUUUUUCUGCCUGCCACUAUACUUACUAGACUGAUGAACCAAAUAUAUAUUCAGACAAAUUAAGUGAAAUUGGACAAUUUCCUACAACGCACAUGACGGGCUACUACUGUAUGUGUUGGGAAUCACUGGUAUAGUUGACUUUUCCCAUGGGUCCCCUACUAUAGGUGACUUAUAAGUCAUAAGCUUCCCGAGCUGCAUGCAACAAUACUACUCAGCAUCAUCAGCAUAUUUUUAUUAUUAUUAUUCAUAGUAUUAGUAGAAAACAGACAACAGUUUCCAUCAAAUUGUUUAUAUCACCUCCAGCAAGGUUGCAGCAGUCGUAAGAUGCGGGCUGUGGACCACCUCACAGGCGUCCAGGUUGUCAUAGGUACGUGCUGCAGGCCAGUAAAGGGUCAAAAGUGUUAAAAUGUGUAAUGACACACUAGUCAAGAGUAAACAGGUGUCAGAUUAUUAAAGAGUUAGACGUUCACCUUCAUAUCGCAGAUUGCCCAUGUGUAAAAUAGCUGCCAGCAGUUUGGAGAUCUCCCAGUUCUCUUUGUCGGUAAACAUCAGAACCUGCACGAUGUCAAGACACUGGUCAUACACAACAGUGUUGAGUGUUAAUUGAGUGCACGUACCUUCAUCGCAGAGCGGAUGUUGGAGUACUCCUUCAUGUCAUCACGGCCGUCGCACACGGGAAGUCCCAAAAAGAUGACACACACUUCAACAAUGAGGGGUGGCCACUGACCAUAGUCAGCUGCAGGUGUGAUACCUGGCGACAGACUCGCGAUUUCUCCAGCAGGAUGGGGUUGGCCUCCAGGACCUGCUGCUCGAUCCACGAGUGUUGACCGCUGAUGGCUGCCAGGAACUGCAGGAUGAGCUUGGUGCUUUCUGUCUUUCCCGCUCCAGAUUCUCCGCUGUUGGACACCCACAAGAGUACAUGUUUGGCUCCCUGAGCAAGUAAGACCGAGAGGUGCAGCAGCCUACCUGAUGAUGCAACACUGGUCACGGUUGUUCCUCUGCAUGUUGAAGUAACAAUUGUCGGCAAUGGCGAAGAUGUGAGGAGGCAUCUCACCGAUCUUCUUAUUAGUGUAAAGGCGGAUCUGGUCCGCCGUGUAGAUGGGAAGCAGCUGAUACGGGUUGAUGGCCACCAGGAUGGAGCCCGUGUAUGUCUGGAAGGAGGAUGCUAACAUCACCAGUGGGUCAACACUCACUGACUAAGUAAACUAGCAGGGUGAGUGUUAUUUUGGAAGUGUAUACUCAUGUUUCGCAGCAACACAAACUCUGAAGUAAGAUGGGUGAGUUGAGGCUGUUUGAGAGAGGAUGGGGUAACAUGCGUCUGGCAUCUCAGGUGGACGAACAUGUCAGCAUUUGCCACCAGAGAAGAGGCGGCCAUGUUGAGAACGAUCAACAUGCACGCAUGCACAGGUCAGCUUGCUUACCACCAAGCGCCACAAGUAAGACGCAGUUCAUCUGUCAAGCUCAUUUUUUGAGGUACUUAACAACCCAAAAGUGUCUGCAACAGUUUGCUACAUGCCACAAAAAUGCAGUGUACAGACACAAGAAGGGACAUGUUCCGUCCAGUGUGCACAUUUGCCGUAGCCAGUGAUGUCUGGAGCCACCUGCAGACUUACCCUGCCACCACAGUUUGUCUUCAGGGCAAACAGGAAGAGGAAGGCAAAACAGAAGCAGAAAGUGAAGAAGAGAUAGUAGAAAAGCCAGAAGUAGUGGUUGAGCUAGAAGGCUGUGGGCUACUCAGGUCUGGAUGAGUCCAGAUGGGUCUUAAGCUGGAAACACAACCAAGCAGUCGACUCACAUAGAUGAGCUUCUCCCUGUAUCUGAUGAGCAGGUUGCGGAGGAUCCCGGCCUCAUUGAGGUCUCCCAGGCGGAUCAUGUCCUCCACACCAUGGAUGGAGGUGGGAUGCAUGGGCUUGAUGUUGGUGGCAUUCUGGGGGGAGAUCCAGUGCUCCUGGACAUGGAGGGAAAGAUGAUUACGAUCUAAGACCAAGUCCUCAUGAUGAACUGGUGUGCGUGCGACCAUAUACUAACUCACAUUUCCCUCAUCGUCCACCACCUGGAUCUGUCCCGAGUCACAGAGUUUGACCACCGCGCCGAUCGGAACCUCAAACUCCCGACCACUCUUCAAGUCCAGCCACACGUAGUCACCCUGGCAACAAAAGUAGCACUUAGGUCAGUUCACAUGUCUUUGUGUCUUCAUGUUCACUGAAACAUUCUCACACAACACAGCCCUGCACACACACACACAUACACACACACACACACACAUGCAGCGUACCGGCAGCAGUGUGCUGUUUUUCAUGACAGUGUUGACAUUUCGGAGCAAAGCCCAUUUGGCCUGAUCCUUCUCGUAGAGGUCCACAUAGUCCCGACGCUUGUACAUGGUCACACACUCACUCACUCACUGAUAUGAGUCUCAAAGGGUUGGCUGAAAAUGAUCCAAUCCACAGUCCACUUAUUCCCAUCAAAUAGUAAAAAGUCAGUUGAGGAUCAUCCUGCUUUUGAGCUCGUCUUACGUGUGGAUAAGGCUAAGUUAAGUCCAUCCACGUGCUCACUUGCAGUAACAUUUUGGUGACACUCCUGCUUUGACUCUACGUUCCCUCAGGCUCCACAACCUCCCCUCCGUCGUCCACGGCAACAAGAUGCCGCUUCCUCCUUAGGUGUGCCCGGCAGGUGUUGGAUUUCUGAGCAGACACUUCAAGCUCAUUCUGCCAGGAUGUCUAUGUCGCCAGUAAACAUGUUGGACUGACUUCAUUAGCACAACCCGAUCCAGUCCGCCCGAGGGGGGGUCUCCCAUCACCCCCCACUGAGGGGCAUGCUGGCCCGGUCUGACCGCCUAAUGGCGGCUAAUGCAGUCUGACUGCAAUGGAUUAUGGGAGACUUCCUGGGGUGGCACAAAUGGAAGGUCAAGGACUUUUUCAAAGUCAACACAAUUUCUACAUGUGACCUUUGUCACCUUCACAGCAAGAAGUACGAGACUUGAACACCUAAUUAGUGGAUGAAGGGCAGACGAUGAUGCUGACGAUGCUGCAAGAAGCUUUUAGUCCCACAGUGGUGGCAGGUUGAAGAAAAGAUCUUCAUUUCCAGCCUUCCGAGUUGUCUUCACGUCCUCCACUUCUUCGUUUUGGCCUCUACCUGAUCUCCAUCCAGUUAGGGAUCCUCAGAGAAGGUCCACUUCCUGCUCAUGUGAAGCUUCCUCCUCUCCUGGGGGCGUGUCCAUCUGGCCAGCUGAGGCGGAGGCCAUGAUGGUGUUGAGGCGCGUCAGAGAGGCGGAGCGCUGCUUGAGUCUGGGGGCGGGGCUCGGCUCGUCGGGCAGGUGGCCGUAUCGGCGGCCAUCUUCGUCGUACUGAUAGAGACGAAUGACGCGACUUGGACGAGGCGGCGAGACUUGACAGGAGGAUGCCUUCCUCUCGCCUCCUCCUUGCUCCUCCCUUCCACCUGGUCACAUGCUUCCAAGUAGGCGGUCGCCUCCUGCUCGUCCUCGCCUCGUCUUUCCCGGAAGCUUCUCUGAGGUUUGGCAGGUGGAUUGGAUCCCAAGCUGCUUGUGGUCUCAUCGUCCCUCACCUGCUCCAUCUUGUUGUACAUGGGUGGAAGUGUCACCAUGGUGAUGUCAGAGCCUGGCAGGUGAUGCUGUUGCCGUGGUGAUGAGGCAGGUAACAUCCUUGUGAGCCCCGGCAGGCACCUGCAGGAACAAAGUUAAAAAGCAUUCCAUGGGACUUCUGCCAGCUCGAAAGUAAGGUUUCCCUACCUGAGAACAUGUCUCCUGCUCAGAGCUCCUGCACUGAAGCCAAACACAAAUGUGAGUAGCACUGAAGCCGCCACAGCUCCUGCAAAGAACUGGACAGAAACGCCUUUCUGCUCCUCUGGAACGGAGCCAAGCUCCCUCCUGACCCUGAGAUGUUCACGCCCUCCAUCUUCUGGUCGUUUGCGGAGCUGGUAAGGGAACAGUGUGGACACUCCGUCAUGCUGCAGGAGACAGUAAUACAAGCCCUCGUGGAGGCUGCUCAAGUUGUUGACCACGAGGCGGCCAUCAUGGUGCAUGUAGACCGGGUCCAGUCUGGAAUGGAAGCCAGGCGUUUGGAGGUGUCCAAAGGGCGUGUGCCAGUAGGCCACCACACCUGCUGGUGGAAGAGGAGCACAUACAAUCUCUGUAUGUAGCUCAUGUGCUUCUUCACCUGCAGUGAGUGGACAUUUGACUUUUCACUCACCCGCCCCCUUUCCAUCACCACACUUAAUAGUCACUGCCACCUGUGGUUGACCUUCAACCCUGAUGGUGGGCACCACCACCGUCAGGGCAUUCUGGCCAACAGCUGCUCCCUCGGGAUACGCUGGGACAGCCAAAAAAGCCGUGAAAGUUAACCAGCAAGUUAACAUUUCAAACCUGAGGCAGACAUAAAAGUCAU
Molecule: long non-coding RNA, 4466 nt
Organism: Dunckerocampus dactyliophorus (ringed pipefish)
Lineage: Eukaryota; Metazoa; Chordata; Actinopteri; Syngnathiformes; Syngnathidae
Exons: 8
Source: RefSeq, a predicted model, not a curated record